RNAcentral lists this long non-coding RNA (271 nucleotides) under Medicago truncatula (barrel medic). Its description in RNAcentral is "lncRNA gene10947". The record is from RNAcentral. Lineage: Eukaryota; Viridiplantae; Streptophyta; Magnoliopsida; Fabales; Fabaceae.
GUCACAUUGUCGGUACUCGUGGGGGUACAUACAGGUUGAGGAGCUCUAGUUACGGGGUAUCUGGAAGGUGACGUUGGAAGAUUUUCUUCAGUCUUUAAUUAUUUUUGAGAACUAUGUAGACGAAUACGGGCUCUGAUUCUGUAACACUGGGGUUGGGAUGUUUUGUCAACUAUUUUUCUUUUAUUGGAGUUGAUUUUUGAAAUUAUAAUUUAAUUUUGCUUGGAUGAUGAGAUCCUAAACUUAUUAUAUUUAAUUUGGAGUUAACGAAUUA